Long non-coding RNA from Lycium barbarum (goji berry), 462 nucleotides. RefSeq lists it as uncharacterized. The record is from RefSeq and is a predicted model, not a curated record. Lineage: Eukaryota; Viridiplantae; Streptophyta; Magnoliopsida; Solanales; Solanaceae. The transcript has 3 exons.
CAGGCUAUUGCAUUUUCUCCAUUGGAGCAGCAAGUGCUGAAGAAGGUUGUUAUCUUCUCCUUCUACCCAUUAUUAGUUUACCUUCUGUUGAUCCACUAAAAUUUUCCUCAGAAAUGCUAUUACUGAAAACAUGAUUUUGGCUAUUUGAACCUCGAUGUGGCAUGCAUGACAUUGGAGGUUGGUAUGUUGGGAACCGUAAACUCGAUCUCCAGAAAGGCAGCUGAGCUGAAUCUAACACACUGCCAAGUGAUGCAGCUAGUGAAUCCCUUUCGCCCAUGGAUGCAAGAAGAUCAUGCGGUGAUAGUAAUCCUAGUGACAACCGUUGAUUUCAUUGUAUUGUUUGGUAGGAACGGAUGUUAGAACGCUGGAGUGAAUGUAUUGUGUUUAAAUUUAGUUUUUGAGUGAUCUGAUAAUGCUACUUAAAUUUUUAGUUUCAAAAACUAAUGGUACUUUAUGAUAACA